Papaver somniferum (opium poppy) is the source of this 1828-nucleotide long non-coding RNA. RefSeq lists it as uncharacterized. The transcript has 4 exons. The record is from RefSeq and is a predicted model, not a curated record. Lineage: Eukaryota; Viridiplantae; Streptophyta; Magnoliopsida; Ranunculales; Papaveraceae.
AGAAUAAAAGUGAACCCGCCCACUUUCUCCUCCUCCUUCUAUUCUACUCGCACUACCAUUUACCUGAGAGGCUCAAACCACCAUAAAAAAACCUAAAAUGGUUUCUUUCCAUUUCCCUGGAAGAGACGGCCUCAAACCUAGACUUCAAUAAAUUAAAUCAUCUUCUACUCCAUUUUUCAAACCGCGCAGGAAAAUCAUUCCCACUUUGCUAUCAAUUGUUCACUUUUAAACCCUAAAUCGUGUUACCCCUAGAUAUCCAUUAAAAUCAAAUCAAAACUUAACCAUAUGUCUGUAAUUUCCUCAAUCUUGACAAUGAAAAGAUCAUUUUAUAAACACUCCCAUACAGGUAAAGGAUCUCCAUUUCUGUUUCAUUCUCUCGAAAAAUCUGGAUGGUUCUAUUUUUAUGUCUUAAAAUUUAAUUGCUUGUUUAUUACAAUUUUAGAGUUGAUUUUUAAAAUCUGACCGGGAUUAAUUCAUCUUUCUAAUCCACGUAUAUGUAAUUUCGAUAUUGAUUGAGUCGAUUUUAGAGGGCAGAAGAAGAAAAGGAGAAUAAGAAAAAGUGUCGGCGGCAGGGGUUCUUCUCAUCAGAGGAAGAUGAACUUCUGGGACGAGUUUUCUAGAAGGAUUACUGGUAUGGGUUUUUGUGUUUAUGUUACUGUAUGUAUUCAUGGGUUGCUGUAUUAUUAAUGCAAUUUGAAUGAGUUAUUGUCUGUGGUGUAAUUUUAUUUUGGAUCUGUAUAGGUAGAAUAGCAGUUGUAUAUGUUAGGAUUUGUGGCUUAAUCUGACAGUACUGUAUAACUACAUUAAAAUCGAUUUAAGCAGAUUUUUUGAUAUAAGGAAUCGAGUACUUUCCCAAACUGGUAAGAAUUUUGUUUACUUGUUUGUUGGAUGUCCUGGUAAGUCGUACAUUUAGAAUUUCUUCAAACCCAAAAUUUUAAAUUCGGUGAUGUUGCUUUGAUAUAUUCAAUUGUAGUGGUGAUGCCCAUCUCUUCUUUUGUCUUUAGAGUUGUUUUGAGUAGUUUUCCUUUGUUCUUCAUUUGGGAUCUUCCUGGUGAGGUGAUAACCCACAAAUCAUCAUAUAUUAACUGAAAUCCCCAUAUUCAUUUUCAAGUUAUGAAGGUCUUAUAUUUAGAAUUUAGUUAUUGAAAUCUUUGUUGGUGUAUUUGUUAGGCUAGGCAAAGUUGAUAAAGACAAAGCCGUACCUUAAUAGCUUAUGAAGCAGAAAGUACUAUCCAAACAGGUCUGAAGAAAGUCUCCAACAGGUCUGGCAACAGACAGGGCGAAAAGCUUUGGGCACCAGAAAACAAUGUGAAAAGUUACCAUUGAGAUUUCUAGUUCAAAUACAUCUUCCUUAUUGCUUUAAGGUACCAUUAUCUGCAUGGGUUUGCUUUUCUAUGCUGAUGAUUUUCCCACACACAACUUCAUUGUCAAUCAAACUAUUUUGUAGCUCAUGAGACUCAGAAAACACCAAAUCAAGUCAAGUGAUGCUAAAAGGGAACUAGCUCGUUAGUAAAAAGAUCAAGGUUUGCUUGUCUCAUUAUAAAGCGUAAAUGCUAAUGAAGUUGUCAUCCACUUCACGCAUAUACUACAUGAAGAUUUUGGGAUACCUGAUUCAAUCCUCCAUUAAAGUUUAAAGCCAAAUGCGAAGAUGUCUUAUCAGAAUCUGUUAGAGUUCCAGAGAAACCAGUUCAUGUUAGUCAUGUUUUUUAUUUUGUUUCAAUAUCGCGAACUUACUGUUAUAUUAUCUGAUUCAGAAGCUUAAUUGUGUUGGAAUCAUCUUGAUGCAUUUAACUUUCUUUAAUGAAUGAAUGGAAGCUUUUCAUAUUUU